AUGGCCAACGACGUGGAGAACCCGCCGAAUUUCCUCCACGACCAGCUCGUGGAGGCGGCAGCGGAGCCUGACGAGUGCGGCAGGUGCACGGUCAUCGUGCUCCUGGCCUUCCUCGCCUUGCCGCUCAUCGCCGUCGCCGUGGUCCUGAUCAAUUUCUACGGCAACUCCCGUGAAACCAGCAGUCCACUGAGUGUCGCCGCGUUGGUCAUCGGGAUCGUAGCCACCGUCCUCGGUUUGUGCGCCUGGGCCGUGCUCAUGUUUGUCAUCGGCCAGUGGGAACUCGGCAAUCCGGAAGGGUCUAGAUUAGUGGAUUAUUUAUUGUCGAUAUAA
This 330-nucleotide ribosomal RNA is filed under the name Triticum aestivum (bread wheat). RNAcentral describes it as "partial small subunit ribosomal RNA". Lineage: Eukaryota; Viridiplantae; Streptophyta; Magnoliopsida; Poales; Poaceae. The record is from RNAcentral.